Non-coding RNA from Epinephelus lanceolatus (giant grouper), 744 nucleotides. NCBI's taxonomy places the organism in Eukaryota, Metazoa, Chordata, Actinopteri, Perciformes, Serranidae. The record is from RefSeq and is a predicted model, not a curated record.
UGUUCUAACAGACUCAGUAAAUCCAUCAUUAAAGUGAAUCCCUCUGUUUGUGCAGCCAUGAUGCGUUCAGGACUCUCAGCAGUUUAUUUCCACUGUGUACUUGAGUGAAAUCUGCAGAGUAAACAGACUUGAUGCCCAAAGUCUCUGCAGGUCUGUGAGCUUCCAGCUCAGUGUGUUCACUCCAACACGUUAACAUGAGAGCUGGAAGAAAGCCGACUACGCUACACAGCCGCUCCACUCUGCUCUGAACAGGAAGUCCCUACUGGUCUUUAUACUGGAUGUGCUGCAUCACUGACUGACAGCUGGUUUAUAACUUCUCUUGUCUUCUUCUCUCAUCAGCUGGAGGCUAUGAGAGGAUCAGCUGUGUCCUGAUGAUCCAGAGACGUUGCUGCCUAAUGCAUGCUGGGUUUUUUGGAUACCCUGAGAUUCUGGACCCUGGAUGUGGAGUGAUUCUCUCCCUGACGAGGGGGAUGGCGAGCUACCCGUGUGAGCAUCUGGAUUGAGGAGGGCCUUCCCAUGCUUCAUCUUCUGUCCUGUCAGCGUGGUAGGGCUGUGGGCAAGGACUUUCAAGGACGAUCAAAGUGAACUAUUUUCUUAUUUUUUGGGGGAAGAAAUAUUUUAUUUUAUUUAGGGUGCAUCCAGUUAAAAGACAUUUCAAAAGAGAACAAAACUGACUGCCGGCAGUAUUUGUGAAUUGUUUAUUGUUUUUUAUGUGUAUUCAAUACAAUGUUUUUGCUUAAAUUU